This is a non-coding RNA of Pelobates cultripes (western spadefoot toad), 204 nucleotides long. The record is from the annotation of a GenBank genome assembly. NCBI's taxonomy places the organism in Eukaryota, Metazoa, Chordata, Amphibia, Anura, Pelobatidae.
CUUGAUUCCACGCCAGCCACAGGCCUGGGCCGACAGACUCGGAACUUCCUUAGCGGGCUUUGUCUUUCCUAAAAUAAAUACAUUCCAGCCAGGACUUUGCAAUGAACUGAUGUCACUCCCUUUUUGCAAGCUGUGGACAGUCCGUGUGAGGGUAAUAGCUGAAUUCAUUACUAUACACUGUUCAAUGAAUAAACCCAAAAUCAC